AUUAAAGAGUUCUAUAACUCCCAAACCCAUGUGAACAUACCUAACGUUGCCUCGGCAGGUCGCACCUACCUUGUAGCACCCUACCCUGUAGGGCCUACCCGGGAGGUGCGGGUAAGCCUGCCGGCGGCCCACCAAACUCUGUUUGAUAUUGAAUUCUGAACCUAUAACUAAAUAAGUUAAAACUUUCAACAACGGAUCUCUUGGUUCUGGCAUCGAUGAAGAACGCAGCGAAAUGCGAUAAGUAAUGUGAAUUGCAGAAUUCAGUGAAUCAUCGAAUCUUUGAACGCAUAUUGCGCCCAUUAGUAUUCUAGUGGGCAGGACCGUUCGAGCGUCAUUUCAACCCUUAAGCCUUCGUUGCUUAGUGUUGGGAGCCUACGGCAACGUAGCUCCUCAAAGUUAGUGGCGGAGUUGGUUCACACUCUAGACGUAGUAAUUUUUUAUCUCGCCUAUUAGUUGGACUAAUCCCCUGCCGUAAAACCCCCAAUUUAUCAAGGUUGACCUCGAAUCGGUUCAGACAAACUCGCUAAAUUGAAGCAUCUUAGUCAGCGAAGGAAAAGAAACCAACAGGGAUUGCCCUAGUAACGGCGAGUGAAGCGGCA
This 599-nucleotide ribosomal RNA is filed under the name fungal endophyte. Its description in RNAcentral is "eukaryotic LSU rRNA". The stretch from base 181 to 334 matches the Rfam family "5.8S ribosomal RNA". Lineage: Eukaryota; Fungi. The record is from RNAcentral.